CCGCCACGCAGACAGAUUAAAGACUGACAGUUUGAAGAUAUUUCAAAAACUAUUUUUCACAUUCCACUGCCAUGAAUUUAUUUUCGCGACUUAAACGAUUGGGAGGGGCUUCCAGCAAGAACUCCGUGACACUGCCUGUAACUGGUAAGUUUG
This 153-nucleotide small RNA is filed under the name Drosophila ananassae. RNAcentral's name for it is "GF26625". The record is from RNAcentral. Lineage: Eukaryota; Metazoa; Arthropoda; Insecta; Diptera; Drosophilidae.